CCUACGGGUGGCUGCAGUGGGGAAUAUUGGGCAAUGGGCGCAAGCCUGACCCAGCAACGCCGCGUGAAGGAAGAAGGCUUUCGGGUUGUAAACUUCUUUUCUCAGGGACGAAGAAAGUGACGGUACCUGCGGAAUAAGCCACGGCUAACUACGUGCCAGCAGCCGCGGUAAUAAGUAGGUGGCAAGCGUUAUCCGGAUUUAUUGGGUGUAAAGGUCGUGUAGGCGGGAGCGCAAGUCAGAUGUGCAAACUCAGGGGUCAACCCUGAGCCUGAAUUGGAAACUGUGUUUCUUGAGUGCUGGAGAGGCAAUCGGAAUUCCGUGUGUAGCGGUUGAAUGCGUAGAUAUAUGGAAGAACAACAGUGGCGAAGGCGGCCGCCUGGCCUGUUGACUGACGCUGAGGCACGAAAGCGUGGGGAGCAAAUAGGAUUAGAUACCCCUGUAGUC
Molecule: ribosomal RNA, 444 nt
Filed under: uncultured bacterium
Lineage: Bacteria
Description: partial 16S ribosomal RNA
Rfam family: Bacterial small subunit ribosomal RNA
Source: RNAcentral